CUGGUUUGAUCCUGCCAGUAGUCAUAUGUUUGUCUUAAAGAUUAAGCCAUGCAUGUGUAAGUAUGAACUAAUUUAGACUGUGAAACUGUGAAUUGCUCAUUAAAUCAAUUAUAGUUUGUUUGAUAGUAUCUACUACUCGAAUAAUCAUAGUAAUUCUAGAGCUAAUACAUGCAACAAACCUCGACUUUUGGAAGGAAUGCAUUUAUUAGAUAAAAGGUUGACACAGGCUACGCCCUUUGCUCUGAUGAUUCAUGAUAACUCGACGGAUUGCACGACCUUUACGUUGGUGACGCAUCAUUCAAAUUUUUGCCCUAUCAACUUUCGAUGGGAGGAUAGUGGCCUACUAUGGUGGUGACGAGUGACGGAGAAUUAGGGUUCAAUUUUGAAAAGAGAGCUUGAGAAACGGCUACCACAUCCAAGGAAGGCAGCAGGCGCUCAAAUUACCCAAUUCUGACACAGAGAGGUAGCGAAAAUAAAUAACAAUACUAGGCUCUAUGAGUCUGGUAAUUAGAAUGAGUACAAUCUAAAUCCCUUAAUGAGGAUCCAAUGGAGGGCAAGUCUGGUGCUAGCAGCCACGACAAUUCCAACUCCAAUAGCGUAUAUUUAAGUUGUUGCAGUUAAAAAGCUUGUAGUUAAAAAUAAGGUUGGGUCGUCAGGUCCGCCUCAUGGUGAGCACCGGUCUACUUGUCCCUACUACUGAUGAUGCGCUCCUGGACUUAAUUGCCCAGGUCGUUCCUCUGACACUGUUACUUCGAUGAAAUUAGAGUGCUCAAAGUAGGCCUACGCUUGUAUACAUUAGCAUCGGAUAAGAUCAUAGGAUUUCAGUCCUAUUGUGUUGGCCUUUGGGAUCAGAGUAAUGAUUAACAGGGACAGUCAGGGGCAUUCGUAUUUCAUAGUCAGAGGUGAAAUUCUUGGAUUUAUGAAAGAUGAACAACUACGAAAGCAUUUGCCAAUGAUGUUUUCAUUAAUCAAGAACGAAAGUUAGGGGCUCAAAGACGAUUAGAUACCAUCCUGUCUCAACCAUAAACGAUGCCGACCAGGGAUCGACGGAUGUUACUUUUAGGACUCCACUGCCACUUUAUGAGAAAUCAAAGUCUUUGGGUUCUGGGGAGAGUAUGGUCGUAAGGCUGAAACUUAAAGGAAUUGAUAGAAGGGCACCACCAGGAGUAGAGCCUGCGGCUUAAUUUGACUCAACACGGGGAAACUUACCAGGUCCAGACAUAGUAAGGAUUGACAAACUGAAAGCUCUUUCUUGAUUCUAUGGGUGGUGGUGCAUGGUUGUUCUUAGUUGGUGGAGCAAUUUGUCUGGUUAAUUCCAUUAACAAACGAGACCUCAGCCUGUUAACUAGCUACGCGGAGGUGAUCCUUCGUGGCUAGCUUCUUAGAGGGACUAUGGCCACUUAGGCCAAGGAAGUUUGAGGCAAUAAUAGGUCUGUAAUGCCCUUAGAUGUUCUGGGCCGCACGUACGCUACACUGAUGUAUUCAAUGAGUCUAUAGCCUUGGCCGAUAGGCUAGGGUAAUCUUUGAAAUUUCAUUGUGAUGAGGAUAGAUCAUUGCAAUUGUUGGUCUUCAACGAGGAAUUCCUAGUAAGCGCGAGUCAUCAGCUCGCAUUGACUACGUCCAUGCCCUUUGUACACACUGCCCAUCACUCCUACUGAUUGAAUGGUCUGGUGAAGUGUUCAGAUUACGGUGACGUGGACGGUUCGCUGUCCGUGACGUCACGAGAAGUCCACUGAACCUUAUCAUUUGGAGGAAGGAGAAGUCGUAACAAGGCUUUCGUAAGUGAACCUGCAGAAG
RNAcentral lists this ribosomal RNA (1797 nucleotides) under Durio zibethinus. RNAcentral's name for it is "SSU rRNA". It matches the Rfam family "Eukaryotic small subunit ribosomal RNA". The record is from RNAcentral. Lineage: Eukaryota; Viridiplantae; Streptophyta; Magnoliopsida; Malvales; Malvaceae.